RNAcentral lists this ribosomal RNA (492 nucleotides) under uncultured bacterium. RNAcentral's name for it is "partial 16S ribosomal RNA". It matches the Rfam family "Bacterial small subunit ribosomal RNA", at positions 29 to 507 of the family's 1533-position model. The record is from RNAcentral.
AGUGAACGCUGGCGGUAGGCCUAACACAUGCAAGUCGAACGGCAGCACAGUAAGAGCUUGCUCUUACGGGUGGCGAGUGGCGGACGGGUGAGGAAUACAUCGGAAUCUACUUUUUCGUGGGGGAUAACGUAGGGAAACUUACGCUAAUACCGCAUACGACCUACGGGUGAAAGCAGGGGAUCUUCGGACCUUGCGCGAUUGAAUGAGCCGAUGUCGGAUUAGAUAGUUGGCGGGGUAAAGGCCCACCAAGGCGACGAUCCGUAGCUGGUCUGAGAGGAUGAUCAGCCACACUGGAACUGAGACACGGUCCAGACUCCGACGGGAGGCAGCAGUCGGGAAUAUUGCACAAGGGGCGCAAGCCUGAUCCAGCCAUACCGCGUGGGGGAAGAAGGCCUUCGGGUUGUAAAGCCCUUUUGUUGGGAAAGAAAAGCAGCAGGUUAAUACCCCGCUGUUCUGACGGUACCCAAAGAAUAAGCACCGGCUAACUUCGUG